GAUGAACGCUAGCGGGAGGCCUAAUACAUGCAAGUCGAGCGGUAGAGUGACUUCGGUUGCUUGAGAGCGGCGCACGGGUGAGUAACGCGUACAUGACCUACCUUUAAGACUGGGAUAGCCCUGGGAAACUGGGAUUAAUACCGGAUGUGAUAAUACGUAUAGAGAUGUAUUAUUAAAGUUGAGGCGCUUAGAAAUGGAUGUGCGUCUGAUUAGCUAGUUGGUAGGGUAACGGCCUACCAAGGCUACGAUCAGUAGGGGGCGUGAGAGCGUGGCCCCCACCACGGUACGUNGACACGACCGGACCU
Molecule: ribosomal RNA, 305 nt
Filed under: uncultured bacterium
Lineage: Bacteria
Description: bacterial SSU rRNA
Rfam family: Bacterial small subunit ribosomal RNA
Source: RNAcentral